RNAcentral lists this ribosomal RNA (524 nucleotides) under uncultured Verrucomicrobiaceae bacterium. Its description in RNAcentral is "bacterial SSU rRNA". It matches the Rfam family "Bacterial small subunit ribosomal RNA", at positions 508 to 1029 of the family's 1533-position model. The record is from RNAcentral. Lineage: Bacteria; Pseudomonadati; Verrucomicrobiota; Verrucomicrobiia; Verrucomicrobiales; Verrucomicrobiaceae.
CCAGCAGCUGCGGUAAUACAGAGGUCUCAAGCGUUGUUCGGAAUCACUGGGCGUAAAGGGUGCGUAGGCUGCGCCGUAAGUCAGAUGUGAAAGCUCAGGACUCAACCCUGAAAUUGCAUCCGAUACUGCGGUGCUAGGGAAAUGAAGGGGAGUCUAGAAUUUUCGGUGUAGCAGUGAAAUGCGUAGAUAUCGAAAGGAAUACCAAAGGCGAAGGCAGGACUCUGGGCAUUUUCUGACGCUCAUGCACGAAGGCUAGGGUAGCGAACGGGAUUAGAUACCCCGGUAGUCCUAGCAGUAAACGGUGCACGUUUGGUGUGGGCGCAUUCGACCGCGUCCGCGCCGGAGCUAACGCGUUAAACGUGCCGCCUGGGAAGUACGGUCGCAAGAUUAAAACUCAAAGAAAUUGACGGGGACCCGCACAAGCGGUGGAGUAUGUGGCUUAAUUCGAUGCAACGCGAAGAACCUUACCUGGUCUUGACAUGCACUGUGUCUCCGAUGAAAGUCGGAUAGUGUAGCAAUACACG